UUUUAUUUUUCUUUAGCACAAAGAAGUUCACGGUUGGGGUUGGCUUGGAGUUAAUGAUGCCGUGUUGUCUUAGAUUUGGCAGACGCCCUUAUCCAGGGCGACUUACAAUCGCAAGCCACCGAAGUCUGGACGCAGAACCCCCCUCUAGGCUCGGUGACGACAGAAUGUCAAGGGAGUGUGAUGAUGAUGAUGAUGCUGGAGAAGUCUCUUGUUGGAAAGUAUUUUCGUAUCAAUGUGAUUGGCAACUGCUGCUGACAAUAGCAUCUGGAAAAUUGUUUUACAUAUCCCAGAAAAUAAAGAAGGCUAUGAUUGUUCCGGCCAUGACAAAUGACUAUGGCAUAAACACUACACCAACUCUGGUUAGAGCUGCAUACAAUUCCACAAAAAGUCAACCUCAGGUGAUCCAAACUGUACCAAUGGUUGUGCUAAGGUCAACCACCUAGAUGGAUGGUCAUGAUGGUGGACACUGCAGUUACAUGUCCUACUGAUGGAACAGCCUUCACAGAAGAGAUUACAUGGAAUGUUCCCCGUGUUCUACUUCCUUGUUUCUACACCACAAAUUACUACCCUUGAUGUUCAAAUGGGAGUUGGUGGUCGUAGAUAGAUAAAGUAGAUAGAUAUAUUGUCAAACAGAUGUAAAUAUUAGCAUUAAAACACUUUCAGAUAACUGUUUUGAAUUAGAGUUUACAAAGAGUAUUAACUUUGGUUUUGUUAAAUAAAAUUAUUGUAGACAUUGCAUAUAGAUAAAUAAAGCCUUGUAGCUUAUUUAAUAUUAGAGUUUGAAAGAAAAUAAUACUUAGUACAGAUGAACUCUUUAUCUUAGCUUUAUGAUUCAAGUCUUUCCAGUAACAAAUGCACACCCACACACAUGUGUUUUAAGCAAAAGAAUCAAAAAUAAUUACUUUGAAAUACCUCUUAAAACUGUAGUACUGUAUCACUACUGAAAAUGUAAUUUUAUACAGCAAUACAAAUUUGAAAUAAAAUAUAUGUGAAUAAUGUAGAAUUAUAAUACUCACCAUCAGUGGGAAAAAUGACAGGUCCUCUAGUGGACAGGGCCUUGCAGUUUGGAGUGAGUUCAGUCAAGGCAAGACGGAGGCAGCUGCACAGAUGAUGUCAAAACGGAGCAAUUACGAUAUUUAAUGUUGUUCAAUGUUGAGAACGCAGACUCACACACGUAUGUCGAGCCAAACAUAGUCAAGAUGUUAAAUGCCACCUUCCUCAAGUGUGGAUACUUGGAGUCCAGCACAAGGGUUGUCCAGAAAGUUUCACAUGUAGUUUCAGUGUGCCGCAUCUUAAGCACUUCACCAGAUUGUAAAUCAAUAAGC
Molecule: long non-coding RNA, 1325 nt
Organism: Acipenser ruthenus (sterlet)
Lineage: Eukaryota; Metazoa; Chordata; Actinopteri; Acipenseriformes; Acipenseridae
Exons: 6
Source: RefSeq, a predicted model, not a curated record